Molecule: ribosomal RNA, 210 nt
Filed under: uncultured bacterium
Lineage: Bacteria
Description: partial 16S ribosomal RNA
Rfam family: Bacterial small subunit ribosomal RNA
Source: RNAcentral
UACAUGGGGUGCAAACGUUGCUCGGAAUCAUUGGGCGUAAAGCGCGCGUAGGCGGUUACUUAAGUUGGAUGUGAAAGCCCUCGGCUUAACUGAGGAAGUGCAUCCAAAACUGAGUAGCUAGAGUACGAAAGAGGGUCGCGGAAUUCCCGGUGUAGAGGUGAAAUUCGUAGAUAUCGGGAGGAACACCGGUGGCGAAGGCGGCACUCGUGG